AUUGUCUCCAUGAAAGAUCAAGAUGUGCAGAAACAGAACAGCAGAGUGGUUCCUGUAAGAUUCUUCUACUUUCGGUGGCCAUACCUCAAGAUAAGAAUGAAAACUUAGUGCGGAUCAAAGUAUCAAAACUCAGUUGGUGUGAGAAGGAUGGAAAAUGUGUUCUAAAUCCGGUUUUAAGUCCUCUUGGAAAAUACGUUCUUAAUCUGGUUCCAAGUCCUCUUGGAAAUUCUGUAGAAGUUCAUUGGAAAGUUGAAGAAAAUGUUCUGAAACAUGCAUCUCCAGAAGGAAUUAUGAAGGCUUCUGGAGAAGUUGACAUGGAGGCCCUUAUUACAACUGAUGACGCUAUAUGGAGAGGCUUUGGAGCUUGGGAUGAUAAUUAACUUUCUUCCCAUUACAAUUGAUUCUACUCACUUUGAAGCCACCAUCCACGAUGCACGCAUAUCUCCCCAUGUAAUCUACAAGCGGUGUUUCAUAACAAUGCGGACUGGCUGGACAGAAUCUAUAGAAGUGGAUUAGUUGAGUUUUUGCUCGCAUGCGCAAGUUGUUGCACUUGACGUUUCUCAUAAUUGCAAGACUUUAAGUACGAUCACAACACGUUAGUUCAUGAUAUGAGUUUAUUUUGAAGAGGAA
This is a long non-coding RNA of Juglans microcarpa x Juglans regia, 630 nucleotides long. RefSeq lists it as uncharacterized. The transcript is spliced from 2 exons. Lineage: Eukaryota; Viridiplantae; Streptophyta; Magnoliopsida; Fagales; Juglandaceae. The record is from RefSeq and is a predicted model, not a curated record.